Callithrix jacchus (white-tufted-ear marmoset) is the source of this 119-nucleotide ribosomal RNA. Lineage: Eukaryota; Metazoa; Chordata; Mammalia; Primates; Cebidae. The record is from Ensembl.
GUCCAUUGUCAUACCACCCUGACCGCACCUGCUCUCAUCUGAUCGCGGAAACUAAGCAGGGUUGGGCCUGGUUAGUGCUUGGAUGAGAGACCGCCUGGGAAUACUGGGGUCUGUAGGUU